UUGAAACACCAGUUCAUUUAGGAUCACCAAAGUUAAGCAACACUGAGCCUGGUCAGUACCUAGAUGGGUGACUGCUUGAGAAUGCCAGGUACUG
Non-coding RNA from Acanthosepion pharaonis, 94 nucleotides. Lineage: Eukaryota; Metazoa; Mollusca; Cephalopoda; Sepiida; Sepiidae. The record is from the annotation of a GenBank genome assembly.